ACUGCCCCUUGAGGCGUUGCUGUCCGACAAAGUGUCAGGAGGGGUGUAGAGUGAUGGGGCUAUGUCUACGCCGAGGACCCAGAACAGUGGGUACUUGGCGUGAUUGAUGACUCUGACA
RNAcentral lists this small nucleolar RNA (118 nucleotides) under Hucho hucho (huchen). RNAcentral describes it as "Small nucleolar RNA SNORA17 (ENSHHUG00000028636.1)". It matches the Rfam family "Small nucleolar RNA SNORA17". Rfam says of the family: snoRNA ACA 17 belongs to the H/ACA family of snoRNAs and is predicted to guide pseudouridylation of the 28S rRNA at positions U4659 and U4598. It shares the same host gene together with ACA43. Lineage: Eukaryota; Metazoa; Chordata; Actinopteri; Salmoniformes; Salmonidae. The record is from Rfam by way of RNAcentral.